CAAUAGCGUAUAUUUAAGUUGCUGCAGUUAAAAAGCUCGUAGUUGGAUCUCGGGUGGGAAUGGCCGGUCCGCCGUUUCGGUGUGCACUUGCUACGCCCACCUUGCUGCCGGGGACGUGCUCUUGAGUUCACGCUCGGGACACGGAGUCGGCGAGGUUACUUUGAGUAAAUUAGAGUGUUCAAAGCAGGCCUACGCUCUGAAUACAUUAGCAUGGAAUAACACGAUAGGACUCUGGCCUAUCUUGUUGGUCUGUAGGACCGGAGUAAUGAUUAAGAGGGACAGUCGGGGGCAUUCGUAUUUCAUUGUCAGAGGUGAAAUUCUUGGAUUUAUGAAAGACGAACUACUGCGAAAGCAUUUGCCAAGGAUGUUUUCAUUAA
Molecule: ribosomal RNA, 377 nt
Filed under: uncultured eukaryote
Lineage: Eukaryota
Description: partial 18S ribosomal RNA
Rfam family: Eukaryotic small subunit ribosomal RNA
Source: RNAcentral